Molecule: unclassified non-coding RNA, 335 nt
Filed under: soil metagenome
Description: partial contains 5.8S ribosomal RNA, internal transcribed spacer 2, and large subunit ribosomal RNA
Rfam family: 5.8S ribosomal RNA (bases 1-120)
Source: RNAcentral
GAUGAAGAACGUAGCGAAAUGCGAUAAGUAAUGUGAAUUGCAGAAUUCAGUGAAUCAUCGAAUCUUUGAACGCACAUUGCGCCCAUUAGCAUUCUAGUGGGCAUGCCUGUUCGAGCGUCAUUUCAACCCUUAAGCCCUGUUGCUUAGCGUUGGGAGCCUACAGUACUGUAGCUCCCCAAAGUUAGUGGCGGAGUCGGUUUCACACUCUAGACGUAGUAAAUUUUUCUCGUCUGUAGUUGAGCCGGUCCCCUGCCGUAAAACACCCAAUUUAUCAAGGUUGACCUCGGAUCAGGUAGGGAUACCCGCUGAACUUAAGCAUAUCAAUAAGCGGAGGA